This 262-nucleotide long non-coding RNA is filed under the name Elaeis guineensis (African oil palm). RNAcentral describes it as "long non-coding RNA (EGUI_LNC069883)". The record is from RNAcentral. Lineage: Eukaryota; Viridiplantae; Streptophyta; Magnoliopsida; Arecales; Arecaceae.
GAGGAGACCAAUCUCCUCUCAGGUGAGAGACCUAGAACUAUUCUAGGAUUUUUGGGUGAGGAAAAAAUCAAAGAGAAGAGAGUCUUCAUCAAUUUUUUCUCCACCAUCUAGCAUCUUCUUUUGAUCCAUCUUCGAUAUUAGAAAGGUCUGAGGUGAUCGAAAGAAGAGAUCAAAUUAGAUCUGUCAUCAGAAGCCGACUGCGCGAGCUAGCACUCUCGCAGAGGGCUAAUCUGUUUGAGGGCUUCGUGUGGACCAUCCGUAG